UACGAAGGGGGCUAGCGUUGCUCGGAAUCACUGGGCGUAAAGGGCGCGUAGGCGGCGCCGCUGGUCGGGCGUGAAAUCCCCGGGCUCAACCCGGGGGCUGCGCCCGAAACGGCGGCGCUGGAGGCGAGGAGAGGGCCGCGGAAUUCCCAGUGUAGAGGUGAAAUUCGUAGAUAUUGGGAAGAACACCGGUGGCGAAGGCGGCGGCCUGGCCUCGAUCUGACGCUGAGGCGCGACAGCGUGGGGAGCAAACAGG
This 253-nucleotide ribosomal RNA is filed under the name uncultured bacterium. RNAcentral's name for it is "partial 16S ribosomal RNA". It matches the Rfam family "Bacterial small subunit ribosomal RNA", at positions 524 to 776 of the family's 1533-position model. The record is from RNAcentral.